Molecule: ribosomal RNA, 543 nt
Filed under: Mycolicibacterium novocastrense
Lineage: Bacteria; Bacillati; Actinomycetota; Actinomycetes; Mycobacteriales; Mycobacteriaceae
Description: bacterial SSU rRNA
Rfam family: Bacterial small subunit ribosomal RNA
Source: RNAcentral
GUGCUUAACACAUGCAAGUCGAACGGAAAGGCCCUUUCGGGGGUACUCGAGUGGCGAACGGGUGAGUAACACGUGGGUGAUCUGCCCUGCACUUUGGGAUAAGCCUGGGAAACUGGGUCUAAUACCGAAUAUUUCCUUUUGGUCGCAUGGCUGGGAGGGGAAAGCUUUUGCGGUGUGGGAUGGGCCCGCGGCCUAUCAGCUUGUUGGUGAGGUUAUGGCUUACCAAGGCGACGACGGGUAGCCGGCCUGAGAGGGUGACCGGCCACACUGGGACUGAGAUACGGCCCAGACUCCUACGGGAGGCAGCAGUGGGGAAUAUUGCACAAUGGGCGCAAGCCUGAUGCAGUGACGCCGCGUGGGGGAUGACGGCCUUCGGGUUGUAAACCUCUUUCAAUAGGGACGAAGCGCAAGUGACGGUACCUAUAGAAGAAGGACCGGCCAACUACGUGCCAGCAGCCGCGGUAAUACGUAGGGUCCGAGCGUUGUCCGGAAUUACUGGGCGUAAAGAGCUCGUAGGUGGUGUGUCGCGUUGUUCGUGAAAUC